Molecule: small nuclear RNA, 99 nt
Organism: Bison bison bison
Lineage: Eukaryota; Metazoa; Chordata; Mammalia; Artiodactyla; Bovidae
Source: Ensembl
GUGCUUGCUUUGGUAGCAUAUGUGCUAAAAUUUCAACAAUACAGAAAAAAAUUAGCAUGACUCCUGCAUAUGCCAAUUUGUGAAGCAUUCCAUAUAUUU